Molecule: transfer RNA, 80 nt
Filed under: Inonotus obliquus
Lineage: Eukaryota; Fungi; Basidiomycota; Agaricomycetes; Hymenochaetales; Hymenochaetaceae
Description: tRNA-Ser
Source: RNAcentral
GGAAUAGUUUUCAUUGGUAAGAUAAAACGAUUGCUAAUUGUUCGGGGAGGCCCUUAGGUGUUCGAUUCACCUCUAUUCCG